Molecule: long non-coding RNA, 2575 nt
Organism: Herpailurus yagouaroundi (jaguarundi)
Lineage: Eukaryota; Metazoa; Chordata; Mammalia; Carnivora; Felidae
Exons: 2
Source: RefSeq, a predicted model, not a curated record
ACUCAUGAAUCAUAAGAUCAUGACCUGAGGUGAAGUCAGCCACUUAACUGACUGAGCCACCCAGGCACCCUGAUGAUACUGCCUUCCAGGGACCCAUGGACAGUAGAUUUGAAGUUUCGGAAGUUUGGCUUGCUAGAUAGGAAAAUAACAACUGCCCCAGUAGUGUUCUCUGGAAUGGGAUUUGCUGAAUUCGUAUACUUCUUUAAAUAUGGUUACAUCAAAUUAUUGGUGGGCUCUUUGUGAACCCAGCUUAAACCCACUGUAUCUUAUCUUUUUGCAUUCAGAAAAGAAGCCUAAUUUUUUUCAAGCAUCCAGCCUUCUUCCAAAGAUCCUAUGUGGUUUGAGUGAUACCUUUGCCAGCUGCAUAGAUAGAUCUUGAUCAGUAACCGAAUCAGAGUAGCCCACACUUCUUGCCAGUUGGUUUAGAAAUCCUGACCUAUUGCGAUAUGUUGAAAGGACACCCAAGCCAAUAAACUCUGUCAAAUUGGCACACGAAGGGGCUCCUACUCUGCGAAUCCAGCAGAAUUUGAGUAUCACAAAGAAUAACGUACCAGUGAAUCAAAAAAGAAUCCAAGUCCAUAGAGAUUCUCAGAGGAAAAACGGUGGACGAAGGUCCAGGGAAAGCUCUUCUCUACAGAAGCAUGCCAGCCAAAAAAUUUAGAAGGAAAGUGUGAGGAAACUCUCAUUUUGCAACCACCAUGUGUAAUAGUCGAUUCACCACUGGGUGCAAAGUUGCUGGCAAAAGGAACAUUCACGUGCUCUCAAAAUAAUGCCUCAGUUAAAAGGGGGAAAGGUACUUAUUUGUGGAUAAAUCUGAUGGACGCCACCUUAACAUGUCACAAUGAGCAUUAUCAGUAGUGGGACGAUCUAAUAUUCCUCCUCAUGUCAUGGACAUCAUUGGAAGAACAUACUGUUUGUGGUAUUCUUGCCAAAAUGUUUACACUGAAUCUAAUCAUGACAAAAUAAGGCAAAUGUGGAUUAUGGGAUACCGUAUAAGACAACUUAAAAUCUUCAAAAAUCUUAAAAAAAAAUCAAUGUCAUGAAAGCAAAUACAGAAAGAAAGCAAAUUGUUCUAAAGAAAACUAAGGAGGCAAAUGCAGUGAAUGAUCUGUGAUUGGAUCCUGGACUUUAAAAAAAAAAGACUCUAAAAAGACAUAUUGGGGAUAAUUCGAUUUAGCUGUGCCUGGGUAAGAUUGGCAAACUCACGGCAUAUGUCAUCGUUGGCUGUUGAAAUUUGGAUGACCUACAGAACCAUUUCCAUUCUAUCAGAAGGCUUUGGCUGCCGUGCCAGAAGAGUUGGAAAUGAUCAAAGAAAUUCGACUAACUUGUCAUUUCCUGACUUCUAACCUCUGAGGAGUCUUGGGCUUCAACUGGUGACUCAAGCAGUCAGCCAUAUGGAGGAGACGAUGGCCUGGUGCUAAAUUAAGACUCAUAUACACACUAUGAGUUCUCAAAAUCCCUCUCCCUUUCUCCUCCCACACCUCGCCCUCUAACUGCCAGGUCUCACAAGCAUUAAAUAGCCAAUGGCAAGGAGAGAAGCCAUGCUGGGGAUUCCUCGUAGCUUCUGCUCCCAUUUGGGACAGCUCUGGCAAUGGCACCAGCUCACCUUACGACUCCCCUUUUUCUACACAUCCUGCCUAUAGACUUAAGCAGUGACCUCAAGAGCCGAUGUCACGUAGCAACCGAAUGACUCAAACGCAGAGCUACUCUAAUAAUGCAGAGUUGCCGUGAUUAUCUCCAACUCCACCUCAUCCUUAUUGGUCAGCGUGUUCCCUAUUCUAAUGAUUCUAAUGAUUGGAAAAAGAGCAAAGAAAUAACAGCCAUGAGAAAAGAAUCAUUUUUCCACAGCAAAGCAUAAGUCUUUCUAAGCAACAGCAACAGUAAUAAAGACCAUUUAUUGAGUAUUGAGUUGUGUGCUGUCGAACUGAUCACUUUACACAUAGUUGCUGUUAAUCUUCAUAACAUUCUUCUGAUAAAUGUCAUUUUAUAGAUGAGGACACCGAGACUGAGAGUUAAGCCAUUUUCCAAGGUUUCAUGCUAGAAAAUGACUGAGGCAUGAUUCAAACUGUAGGUGGCCACCCAAAGCUACAUUUCCAAAUACUAUACCAUCCUUUCAAUUCAAGGACCAAUUUAAAAUAACAUUUGCCACUUAUUUCCUCACUAUCGAAGCCACAGAUGUUCAUUAUUAAAAAUAUGAUUAAAAAAUUCAAUUCGUAUUAACAUUUUUAAAUUAGCCCAAACUCAGCUGCCUACAGGUAACUACUACACAUUUCAUUUCCAAUAUUUUCCUGUGAUUAUAUGUGUGUGUGCAUGUAUAUAUGUGUGUAUAUUUGUACGGAGUAUAUGUAUUAUAAGCUGUGGUUUGGGAGUACUACAUUUUUAUCUUAAGAUUAUACCGAUCUCCUAAUUUUGGGAUUGUUCAUUGCUUGUAUAUAGAAAUACAAUUCAUUUUUGUAUGUUGAUCUUGUACUCCACACCUUGCUACUUGUUCAUUUUAGUAGUGUGUGUAUUAUUUAAGAUGUUCUAUAAAUAGGAGCAUGAGUCUAUGAAUAAAGAUGUUUCCCUUUUUCCUUUC